CCAGGUUCCAGGAGUCAACUCUGAGUGGUAACGUGCAGCCCCACCCAGAGCACCUGGGCUGAGAGCUGGGAAGAGGUGAUUCCUAGAAGGAAAUUCCAGAGGAAGGAAUUAGAUUAAUGUGUAACUCCUCACAUUUUCAAGAACAUGACUCUAGUCUGCUGCGCCGAGGUUGACAGCCCAUGAUGGCAGCACACGGGACUAAUGUCAAGUGAGCGGGAAGGAGAAAACCAGGAGACCAGCAGUGUUAAAGUCACCUAGUGCUUCUGGCUCUCACUCUGCUCACCUGUAAAAUGGAACCAGAUGCUCUCAAAGGUGAAUCCCAGUUCAAACUCAGUCUCAUGCAUUUCUUCUCUCUGGGAAGACCCCAGCAGCUGAUCAGGGUCCAGGAAGUAGCUCCAAGCUCCCCAAACUUCCUCCAUCCAGGCUGCCUCCUGCUUGUACCUUUUCCUGCCAGAUGAACAGCCUCCCUGCCUCUCAGGCCAGGGCAGGGCCACCCCUCUGCUCAUGUCUCCCCAGGCUCCCUCCAGCCCUGGCCACCCACGAGCAGCCCCCUCCACUGGAUCCCACCAACAAGAUAUCGGGGGUAACAUAUUUAUAACCAGG
Molecule: non-coding RNA, 603 nt
Organism: Manis javanica (Malayan pangolin)
Lineage: Eukaryota; Metazoa; Chordata; Mammalia; Pholidota; Manidae
Source: RefSeq, a predicted model, not a curated record